AGAACGAACGCUGGCGGCAUGCCUAACACAUGCAAGUCGAACGCUCACCGGGCUUCGGUUCGGUGGGAGUGGCGCACGGGUGAGUAGCGCGUGGGAACCUGCCCUGUUGUGGGGGAUAACCGAGGGAAACUUCGGCUAAUACCGCAUGCGCCCGGGGAAACCCGGGGAAAGAUUUAUCGCAGCAGGAGGGGCCCGCGUCGGAUUGGGUAGUUGGUAGGGUAACGGCCUACCAAGCCUGUGAUCCGUAGCUGGUCUGAGAGGAUGAUCAGCCACACUGGGACUGAGACACGGCCCAGACUCCUACGGGAGGCAGCAGUGGGGAAUAUUGGACAAUGGGCGCAAGCCUGAUCCAGCCAUGCCGCGUGAGUGAUGAAGGCCCUAGGGUUGUAAAGCUCUUUGUGCGGGAAGAUAAUGACGGUACCGCAAGAAUAAGCCCCGGCUAACUUCGUGCCAGCAGCCGC
Molecule: ribosomal RNA, 461 nt
Filed under: uncultured bacterium
Lineage: Bacteria
Description: SSU rRNA
Rfam family: Bacterial small subunit ribosomal RNA
Source: RNAcentral